This is a long non-coding RNA of Uranotaenia lowii, 426 nucleotides long. RefSeq lists it as uncharacterized. The transcript is spliced from 3 exons. NCBI's taxonomy places the organism in Eukaryota, Metazoa, Arthropoda, Insecta, Diptera, Culicidae. The record is from RefSeq and is a predicted model, not a curated record.
AACACAAAUGGAUUGGAUUUUGUUUGGUGAAAGGUGGCCUAUCCUCCACGACGGCGGCUGAACAAACAUGAGAAAAAACCCGUCAGAACCAAACCACCUAUGAACCGUCACACACCACCGGAAGGCUAAGAUGGGACGAUCAGGCGUUGGGAACUUUCGACAGCUUCGAGGGGACAAAUGAUAGUGGACUCCAGGGCAACCAAUUUCAAGAGGUGAAAGCACUGGCAGUCCCGGUGCUCCGGGUAAGCGGUUGCAAUUGGUUCCGAUCAGGUCAAAGGAGAUUCAAGGUCUGGCGCUGAAACCAUUCAUCAGUUGUUCGAAUGGAACUGUCCGCCAACGGACAUCGUUCAAUAUCUACCAGCUGAAACAUCUGAAAAUGUUGUUCUGUGAGACGAAAUUUGGAAUCAAGUUCAAGACAUAACGAAU